AGCUUUGCAUUGUGGCAAUACCAUAGCCAAUGAGGUUUAUCAAAGGCAUGAUUACUGCUAAUUAAAAAAGAAAAAAAGUACUAUCCAGUCAUUCAGUGGUUUAAAACCACUAGAAUUGUCAGCAAAAAUAUG
This 132-nucleotide small nuclear RNA is filed under the name Otolemur garnettii (small-eared galago). RNAcentral describes it as "U4 spliceosomal RNA". It matches the Rfam family "U4 spliceosomal RNA". Rfam says of the family: U4 small nuclear RNA (U4 snRNA) is a component of the major U2-dependent spliceosome. The structure of U4 snRNA from yeast and human has been reported. U4 snRNA presents a k-turn RNA motif in the 5p-SL related to recognition of Snu13 protein. Lineage: Eukaryota; Metazoa; Chordata; Mammalia; Primates; Galagidae. The record is from Rfam by way of RNAcentral.